UACGGAGGUGGCAAGCGUUGUUCGGAAUUACUGGGCGUAAAGGGCGCGUAGGCGGUUUGGCAAGUCAGAUGUGAAAUCCCCGGGCUUAACCCGGGAAUUGCAUCUGAAACUGCCUUCCUUGAGUCCUGGAGGGGGUAGUGGAAUUCCCAGUGUAGCGGUGAAAUGCGUAGAUAUUGGGAGGAACACCUGUGGCGAAGGCGGCUACCUGGACAGUGACUGACGCUGAGGCGCGAAAGCUAGGGGAGCGAACGGG
RNAcentral lists this ribosomal RNA (253 nucleotides) under uncultured Acidobacteriota bacterium. Its description in RNAcentral is "uncultured Acidobacteria bacterium partial 16S ribosomal RNA". It matches the Rfam family "Bacterial small subunit ribosomal RNA", at positions 524 to 776 of the family's 1533-position model. Lineage: Bacteria; Pseudomonadati; Acidobacteriota. The record is from RNAcentral.